UGGAUGGGGCUUUCCUUGGCACUGCCUAAUGUGCAUUCAGGCAUCCAGGAAAAAUAAAACACGUGGCUCUGGCAGCCCACAAGUGAUGCUACUAAUGAUGGAAGAGAACAACCUUUCCAAGGUCAAGUUACCAAGCAUCUGAACCCUGGAAAGCAUUUGUCAUGGCCUGGGAAUUGAUCUGAAACCUGAGCCAUCUUGGAGAAUAAAUCACCACAGAAAGCAUGCAUUAGAAUAUUCCCUAUGGAGCUGAUUUCCUGGAAGCAGACCGAGGUGUAGUAUUGGUAAUGGGACUAGCAGGCUGGAAGGAGGCUUGUGCCUGAAAAAACAGCACCAGAAAGAGCAAUGAAAACAUCAGUGCUUACAGAGGGAGGGACCAAAGCUCCUUCUUUCAGCUCAGUGGAAAGCUGGAGUGAUCUUCAGAGCCCUUGUGAGAGCAGUCAAGUCCUUUGCCCAGCACACUCUCCGUGCCAAGGUAGGUCCAAAUCCACAGCAGUUGUCAGGAGUGGGUGCUCACUGUCUGACCAAUAACCAGAGCAAUGGGACAGCUCCUAGCAAUGCAUUAUUAACAGCACCAGAAAGAGCAAUGAAAACAUCAGUGCUUACAGAGGGAGGGACCAAAGCUCCUUCUUUCAGCUCAGUGGAAAGCUGGAGUGCUCUUCAGGUGAGUGAUUAUAAAUGGUAAGCACGUGGAGCUCAUUUUGAAAGUUUUAGUGCUAGUGCUUGACAUUGCAUAGCCUGUAAUAAACAAGAGAUGAUCUCUAAGUUUUAUUACAACAGGGCAGCUUUAAAAUCUUCAAAUCAUACAGAGCUUUAUCCCAGUUUCUCCCUUUUUCAGUAGCUGUUAGGGCUCAGCCAUUCUUCUUUUCCUUGCUCUUGCCUGCUCAGACCAGCAAAGAUCUUGUCUGAUCUUUGGAUGAAGCAUCAAACAGGCCAAAAUCCACUGGGCUUUGAAACAAGAGGAGCACCAAAAGAGGAAGAUUCCAGCCAGGCCUUUGUCUGUUGGCUGAUUGGUCUGGUUUUGGAGUUGACAUUUGCAAGCAUAAAAGCAUCAGGGAAAGUAGCAAUGGCAUUUUGAGGACUGUGCUGCAAAAAGGGCCAACUAGAAUCUCUCCUAUUUCCACCUGUUCUUCCCCUCUGCCUUCUUCUCAGUUCCAGCCUCUGUCAUCGCUGCAGCAAUCACUGCAGGA
Molecule: long non-coding RNA, 1187 nt
Organism: Manacus vitellinus (golden-collared manakin)
Lineage: Eukaryota; Metazoa; Chordata; Aves; Passeriformes; Pipridae
Exons: 3
Source: RefSeq, a predicted model, not a curated record